RNAcentral lists this ribosomal RNA (400 nucleotides) under uncultured bacterium. RNAcentral's name for it is "bacterial SSU rRNA". It matches the Rfam family "Bacterial small subunit ribosomal RNA", at positions 355 to 769 of the family's 1533-position model. The record is from RNAcentral.
UAGGGAAUAUUGCACAAUGGGGGAAACCCUGAUGCAGCAAUGCCGCGUGAAGGAUGAAGUAUUUCGGUAUGUAAACUUCUAUCGAUGGGGAAGAAAAAAAUGACGGUACCCAAGUAAGAAGCCCCGGCUAACUAUGUGCCAGCAGCCGCGGUAAUACAUAGGGGGCAAGCGUUAUCCGGAUUUACUGGGUGUAAAGGGUGCGUAGGCGGUUAGAUAAGUCAGAUGUGAAAACCCGGGGCUCAACCUCGGGAAUGCAUUUGAAACUGUUUGACUAGAGUAUGGGAGAGGUAAAUGGAAUUCCUAGUGUAGCGGUAAAAUGCGUAGAUAUUAGGAGGAACACCAGUGGCGAAGGCGAUUUACUGGACCAAAACUGACGCUGAGGCACGAAAGCGUGGGGAGC